GACAGAGGGUGCAAACGUUGUUCGGAAUUACUGGGCGUAAAGCGCGUGUAGGCUGCUUGGAAAGUCGGAUGUGAAAGCCCUGGGCUCAACCUAGGAAGUGCAUUCGAAACUUCUGAGCUUGAGUUCUGGAGAGGAAGGCGGAAUUCUCGGUGUAGAGGUGAAAUUCGUAGAUAUCGAGAGGAACACCGGUGGCGAAGGCGGCCUUCUGGACAGUGACUGACGCUGAGGAGCGAAAGCGUGGGGAGCGAACAGG
This 253-nucleotide ribosomal RNA is filed under the name uncultured bacterium. RNAcentral describes it as "partial 16S ribosomal RNA". It matches the Rfam family "Bacterial small subunit ribosomal RNA", at positions 524 to 776 of the family's 1533-position model. The record is from RNAcentral.